GAUGAACGCUGGCGGCGUGCUUAACACAUGCAAGUCGAACGAAGCACUUAAGAUUGAUUCUUCGGAUGACGUCUUUUGUGACUUAGUGGCGGACGGGUGAGUAACGCGUGGUAACCUGCCUCACACAGGGGGAUAACAGUUAGAAAUGACUGCUAAUACCGCAUAACCCGAUAGGAUCGCAUGAUCCAGACGGAAAAGAUUUAUCGGUGUGAGAUGGACCCGCGUCUGAUUAGCUAGUUGGUGAGGUAACGGCCCACCAAGGCGACGAUCAGUAGCCGGCCUGAGAGGGUGAACGGCCACAUUGGGACUGAGACACGGCCCAAACUCCUACGGGAGGCAGCAGUGGGGAAUAUUGCACAAUGGGGGAAACCCUGAUGCAGCGACGCCGCGUGAGUGAAGAAGUAUUUCGGUAUGUAAAGCUCUAUCAGCAGGGAAGAAAAUGACGGUACCUGACUAAGAAGCCCCGGCUAACUACGUG
Molecule: ribosomal RNA, 478 nt
Filed under: uncultured bacterium
Lineage: Bacteria
Description: partial 16S ribosomal RNA
Rfam family: Bacterial small subunit ribosomal RNA
Source: RNAcentral